Long non-coding RNA from Rhagoletis pomonella (apple maggot), 531 nucleotides. RefSeq lists it as uncharacterized. The record is from RefSeq and is a predicted model, not a curated record. The transcript has 2 exons. Lineage: Eukaryota; Metazoa; Arthropoda; Insecta; Diptera; Tephritidae.
AUGAUACUACGUUUUUUUCUUGUAUUUCGAGUGUAUUUUACGCUGUAUUUUGAAAGAAAGAGAAGGUCACAUACAAUUUCAGUACUUGUGUAAGCGAGUAAGCUAUAUACCAAAAAACAAACGAAAAACUAACGAAAAACAAACUAGGUUGUUAAAAACAGUCCGGCCAACUUGUAUUUCGUUAGGUUUUUUUGACAGAUGGCUGUAUUUCGUUAGUUUUUUUACACAGCUGUUUGCAUUUUGACAUACGAGAGAUUUUCUAAGCAUACAAUGGAAAUACAAGUUUUAUCUAUUGCAACAAAUUGUUUGCUAAACGCUGCUGCCUUAAUACAGCGUAGGAAAAAGAAAAAGACUAAAAAAAAUAUUCUGCGCAAUGGCUUUUAAAAAGAGAACUGGAAGGAUUUAGCCAUAAACUGUUAAAGGAAAUUGAGUGCGAGGAUUCAAUCCUUCACAAAAAUAUCUUAAGAAUGACUCCAGCUCAGUUUGCAUUCUUAUUAGAAAAAGUACGCCCCUAUAUUAGCAAGCAGGAUA